This 480-nucleotide ribosomal RNA is filed under the name uncultured bacterium. Its description in RNAcentral is "partial 16S ribosomal RNA". It matches the Rfam family "Bacterial small subunit ribosomal RNA", at positions 28 to 507 of the family's 1533-position model. The record is from RNAcentral.
GAUGAACGCUAGCGGCAGGCCUAACACAUGCAAGUCGAGGGGUAGAAGGAGCUUGCUCCUUUGAGACCGGCGCACGGGUGCGUAACGCGUAUGCAAUCUACCUUGUACAGGGGAAUAGCCCAGAGAAAUUUGGAUUAAUGCCCCAUAGUAUAUAACCUUCGCAUGUUGGUUAUAUUAAAGUUCCAACGGUACAAGAUGAGCAUGCGUCCCAUUAGUUAGUUGGUAAGGUAACGGCUUACCAAGACGAUGAUGGGUAGGGGUCCUGAGAGGGAGAUCCCCCACAGGGGGACUGGGACACGGACCAGACUCCUACGGGAGGCAGCAGUGAGGAAUAGUGGUCAAUGGUCGAAAGACUGAACCAGCCAUGCCGCGUGCAGGAAGACGGUCCUAUGGAUUGUAAACUGCUUUUAGACAGGAAGAAACCCUCCCACGUGUGGGAGCUUGACGGUACUGGAGGAAUAAGGAUCGGCUAACUCCGUG